Non-coding RNA from Chlorocebus sabaeus (green monkey), 1922 nucleotides. The record is from RefSeq and is a predicted model, not a curated record. NCBI's taxonomy places the organism in Eukaryota, Metazoa, Chordata, Mammalia, Primates, Cercopithecidae.
AGGAACUGCUGAUGAAGAAUGAUGAUGAUGUGCUGUGCUGUGGAAGGCAGUGAGCUUCUUGGCAGAGGAGGUAUGUCAGCAGAGGAGGAAACCAAAGCACCAAGAGCUGGAGGAAGCUGUGGAGGAAGAAGAGGAGGAAGCCGCACCGUGCGAGAGGCGGGGUCUGCACUCAGGCAGACGGCCACAGGCCCGCAUGCCAGGCACAAGGGAAGCUUGGAAGGCACACUCUGGAAUGACCCGGCCCAGCUGCCGUCAUCAGUGGGUGACUCCAGGUCACAGGCAGUGAAGCUGGGAAGAGAACAGAGCCAUCUGGAGAGCAGGACAGAUGAGGACACUCUGGAAUUUUCCAAGAAGUAAAAUGUGGCUGCAGAGAAAUGGAACAAGUGCUUCCUCAGGGAGCCCUGAGGCGUGCUACUGUUGUCUAGUGAACGGUAUUCAACUGCUUCUCCCAUUGCCCCUCUCUCUGCUGGAUUAUUCAGCAGGAUCAGCCAUCCCCCAUCACACUCAGAUGCUAUAAUAGCUCCACCUUCAAACAAGCAAAUACACAAAACACCCUCUGACCAUAUGACUUUCCCAGCUACCACCCUUACUCUGCCCUACUUGACAGAAAACUUGAAAGCACUGUGCCUACUGCACACGCUGCCCCAAUCAUGUCUUGGUCCCCAUCACAUCACCCACAGCGCUAGGCUGCCAAGCCCAGUGGCCAGUUCUCAGCACCCAUUUGACUUGGCCUAAGAACAAAGGAUUGGACACCAGAUUCCUUCCUCGCUUACACAAUCUUCCCAUGGCUUCCAGGAGACUGCUCUCCUCUGGGAUUCCUCCUGCCUCCCUGGCACUCCUUGCCUUUUUGCCAAUUUCUCCUCUCCAUCCCGACCCCUAAUGCCGGUGAGUCCUGGGACGCCCUCUGAGGACCUCUUCUCUCCUCAGUGUGCACUCACUCUAGGAGGGGUCUCAGCCAGCGCCAUGGCUUUGCAUGCCCAUGACUUCCAACUUCUUAUCUCCACUUCUGGCCUCUCUCCUGAACCUCGGGCUCAGAUCCAGUUCCUGACAAGCGCCCCAACUUAACUGUGGCACCUCUAUUUGGGUGUCCCACAGGCUUCUCACAGCUUCUCAUGCCACCUGGACUUGUCCUGGUCUUCCUCCAUCUGCUCCUUCCUCCCUCGGUGAAGUGUGCCAUCACCCACUUGACCGCCCAAAGAGUGGCCACUGGGUUUGGCCACCUGGAGGUCAUGCACAGCUACUCAGCAUCUGGCCAACCACUCAGUUCCACCCCAGUGCCCAGCCCAAGGGUGCCACAGGGAGGGUGCUUGGCAAAGUGCUGUUGUAUUGUGUGGCACCUCCUAUGUCCAGGUCUGUGCAGGUUGGCAGGAGAGGUAGAGGGGCAGGAGGGGAGAAGAACUGCAAGUCCCCACCCUCCGUGGGCUGCUCCUCUGGGUGGAGCACCAGGAGGUCAGGCAGGGGAUGCAGACACAGCCCUCCCUCCAGGGCGUGUCCACUGGCCUUAGGCCACUCCCUCCACAGACAAGCGGGGCGUUGAGUCCGGAGAGAGCAGGGGAGGUAUCCUGCAGGAAGCAAGACCUGGGGUUGAGCAGAAUUAGUACUAGGUGGAGGAAGAUAGGCAGCGGGUAUGUUUGGGGACAGAAAAGAGUACAGCACAGCUAGAGAAGAGGACCCAGAGCAGACAGGAAUGGGCAGAGAAAGGAGGCAGAGAGGGCUGAGUGGCCUGGCAGGGCACCCCUCCUCUAGCUGGGGCUGUGUGUGCUGUUGGAGUAACGCUCACCCCCUGGUUGAUAUCUUUCAGAGGAGGAAGUGGUUAGGUUACCAGGUGGUUGGGGUGAGUGGGGAUUUGAACCUGACUCUGCCACCUCCAGACCUUGACCUCAUUCCCUUGUCCACGCUGCAUUUUACCCGCUGGCACCAGA